This 73-nucleotide transfer RNA is filed under the name Candidatus Doudnaibacteriota bacterium. RNAcentral's name for it is "Candidatus Doudnabacteria bacterium tRNA-Phe". It matches the Rfam family "tRNA". From Rfam's summary of the family: Transfer RNA (tRNA) molecules are approximately 80 nucleotides in length. Their secondary structure includes four short double-helical elements and three loops (D, anti-codon, and T loops). Lineage: Bacteria; Candidatus Doudnaibacteriota. The record is from RNAcentral.
GCCGAGGUAGCUCAGCUGGUAGAGCAUUCGCCUGAAGAGCGAUGGGUCGUCAGUUCAAUUCUGACCCUCGGCA